This is a non-coding RNA of Trichobilharzia regenti, 45 nucleotides long. The record is from Rfam. NCBI's taxonomy places the organism in Eukaryota, Metazoa, Platyhelminthes, Trematoda, Strigeidida, Schistosomatidae.
AUCCAGAUGACGAGUACCAAAUAGGAUGAAAUGCCCAUCCUGGAU